RNAcentral lists this ribosomal RNA (253 nucleotides) under uncultured bacterium. RNAcentral's name for it is "partial 16S ribosomal RNA". It matches the Rfam family "Bacterial small subunit ribosomal RNA", at positions 524 to 776 of the family's 1533-position model. The record is from RNAcentral.
UACGUAGGGGGCUAGCGUUGCUCGGAAUCACUGGGCGUAAAGGGUGCGUAGGCGGGUCUUUAAGUCAGGGGUGAAAUCCUGGAGCUCAACUCCAGAACUGCCUUUGAUACUGAGGAUCUUGAGUUCGGGAGAGGGAAGCGGAAUUCCGGGUGUAGCGGUGAAAUGCGUAGAUAUCCGGAGGAACACCGGUAGCGAAGGCGGCUUCCUGGACCGACACUGACGCUGAGGCGCGAAAGCUAGGGGAGCAAACGGG